UCCAGUGCUGCAGUCGCUAUGACCAGAAAUAAAAGAGUUCUUUUUGUUUGUUCCUUUCGUGGCCUUGACGACGUUCUCGGGAGAAGCAGCUCAAUAGUCAAUAUCAGAUGGUUCUAGAAGAGUUGCUUCAUAAGUACCACUGCUGUGAUCUUUUCUGUAGGUUCCCAUGACAAUGCUAUAGGGGCUUUGUUUGUUCAUGGGAACUUGAGGAACACAGGGAAUUCUUGUUCAAUAAUGAACGCAAUGCGGCUUGGAAAAGACUCUUGGUAGACACGAACAAAAAAGUAUAGCCAGAGCAGCCUUCAGAAAUCAUUCCUGCAGUUUUUGGAAGCGUUUCUCAAGGUCUGAAUGGAGGCUGUGAAGUUACUAACAAAAUGAACAGGCUCUGCUUUUCAUAAUUGGCUUCAUGACUGUGGGUUUUGGCAACAACUCUAGAGGAACACAGGGCCCGGAAGAGGGGCACAAUGAAGCCACUCACUGUAAUAACUUAAGCAACAACAAUGCACCUUUUCAGAUUAAUGCCAAGAAAAUAUAUGCAGAAGAGACACCCAUGUCAUUGAACAAGAGGUUCUAAUAUUACAUAACAGGGUAGUGGUAUGUAGCUGUAGUGGUAUGUGCUCUCUCUCAAUGCUGAGCUGCAGCUCCCAGUCAGCCACUGGAUCAUGAGGGUAAAAUACGGAUACUUGACAUCUUCUUAAAGAACAUCAUGCCUGCUAAGCCAUCCAGUUUGGAUGCCCCAGUGCCUUCCACCAGCCAUUCUCAAGCCUCAUUAGAAGAGAGAGAUUGAUGACCCUGUAGCUGCAGCAUCCCAUCAUCCUGCAUUUUAGUUCAAUGCUUCAAACGUUCUUCAGGCCCAGUGUGCUUUCAGCUGUGUAUGUUAAUGGUGCAUCUCCUGCUGUUCCCAAUCUACUCAUCCUAGGAACCAACUCAGGUCAGGAGAAGCAAGGAAAGCCUUACAACCUGUUACUGACCGGAGGGGAUGAAGGAGACAGGGAAACUACAACACAUGGAAUGUGGUAUCCUGAAUGGGACCCUGGAACCAAAGAAUGACACUGGGGAAGAACUGCUGAAAUUCAAGUAAAAUGUGGAGUCUCGUUAGUGGCAAUGUACCAAGGCUACAAACCUGUACAGCAUGUGAUUCUACUGAAUAUACGGGCAAUUGUUAACACAAUGAUGUGAUGACUGAUUUCCAGCAGCUGAAGGGAAGUCUUUUGGAUUAACUUUUGUGAUUGAUUUGCUCUGGGUUCAGUCAGCCUGCAAGG
This 1262-nucleotide long non-coding RNA is filed under the name Homo sapiens (human). Its description in RNAcentral is "HSALNT0356195". Lineage: Eukaryota; Metazoa; Chordata; Mammalia; Primates; Hominidae. The record is from RNAcentral.